This is a non-coding RNA of Rhodoferax antarcticus ANT.BR, 39 nucleotides long. The record is from Rfam. Lineage: Bacteria; Pseudomonadati; Pseudomonadota; Betaproteobacteria; Burkholderiales; Comamonadaceae.
GUAGUUCGCCCGCCAGCAAUGGCGGGCGCGGAUUGAAAC